GAUGAACGCUAGCUACAGGCUUACACAUGCAAGUCGAGGGGCAGCAUGGUCUUAGCUUGCUAAGGCCGAUGGCGACCGGCGCACGGGUGAGUAACACGUAUCCAACCUGCCGUCUACUCUUGGACAGCCUUCUGAAAGGAAGAUUAAUACAAGAUGGCAUCAUGAGUCCGCAUGUUCACAUGAUUAAAGGUAUUCCGGUAGACGAUGGGGAUGCGUUCCAUUAGAUAGUAGGCGGGGUAACGGCCCACCUAGUCUUCGAUGGAUAGGGGUUCUGAGAGGAAGGUCCCCCACAUUGGAACUGAGACACGGUCCAAACUCCUACGGGAGGCAGCAGUGAGGAAUAUUGGUCAAUGGGCGAGAGCCUGAACCAGCCAAGUAGCGUGAAGGAUGACUGCCCUAUGGGUUGUAAACUUCUUUUAUAAAGGAAUAAAGUCGGGUAUGGAUACCCGUUUGCAUGUACUUUAUGAAUAAGGAUCGGCUAACUCCGUGCCAGCAGCCGCGGUAAUACGGAGGAUCCGAGCGUUAUCCGGAUUUAUUGGGUUUAAAGGGAGUGUAGAUGGAUAUUUAAGUCAGUUGUGAAAGUUUGCGGCUCAACCGUAAAAUUGCAGUUGAUACUGGAUAUCUUGAGUGCAGUUGAGGCAGGCGGAAUUCGUGGUGUAGCGGUGAAAUGCUUAGAUAUCACGAAGAACUCCGAUUGCGAAGGCAGCCUGCUAAGCUGCAACUGACAUUG
Molecule: ribosomal RNA, 730 nt
Filed under: uncultured Bacteroidales bacterium
Lineage: Bacteria; Pseudomonadati; Bacteroidota; Bacteroidia; Bacteroidales
Description: bacterial SSU rRNA
Rfam family: Bacterial small subunit ribosomal RNA
Source: RNAcentral